Molecule: ribosomal RNA, 501 nt
Filed under: uncultured bacterium
Lineage: Bacteria
Description: partial 16S ribosomal RNA
Rfam family: Bacterial small subunit ribosomal RNA
Source: RNAcentral
AUUGAACGCUGGCGGCAGGCUUAACACAUGCAAGUCGAGCGGGGGAAGGUAGCUUGCUACCGGACCUAGCGGCGGACGGGUGAGUAAUGCUUAGGAAUCAGCCUAUUAGUGGGGGACAACAUCUCGAAAGGGAUGCUAAUAACGCAUACGUCCUACGGGAGAAAGCAGGGGAUCUUCGGACCUUGCGCUACUAGAUGAGCCUAAGUCGGAUUAGCUAGUUGGUGGGGUAAAGGCCUACCAAGGCGACGAUCUGUAGCGGGUCUGAGAGGAUGAUCCGCCACACUGGGACUGAGACACGGCCCAGACUCCUACGGGAGGCAGCAGUGGGGAAUAUUGGACAAUGGGGGGAACCCUGAUCCAGCCAUGCCGCGUGUGUGAAGAAGGCCUUAUGGUUGUAAAGCACUUUAAGCGAGGAGGAGGCUACUCUAGUUAAUACCUAGGGAUAGUGGACGUUACUCGCAGAAUAAGCACCGGCUAACUCUGUGCCAGCCGCCGCAGUAA